CUGGGAUAACCGCCAUCGAAAUGGCCGAAGGAAAACCACCAUAUGCAGAUAUAUACCCUGUGGAGCAGCUGAUUAGAGAAGCCCAACCACCGAAGCUUCAAUCAGACAGAUGGUCACAACGUUUUGUGUCCUUCUUGGAUUCCUGUCUGAAGAAGGAUCCUUCAGAGAGAGGAGUGCUGAAGAACUCCUGC
This is a long non-coding RNA of Xenopus laevis (African clawed frog), 191 nucleotides long. RefSeq lists it as uncharacterized. The record is from RefSeq and is a predicted model, not a curated record. Lineage: Eukaryota; Metazoa; Chordata; Amphibia; Anura; Pipidae. The transcript has 3 exons.